Rhagoletis zephyria (snowberry fruit fly) is the source of this 153-nucleotide long non-coding RNA. RefSeq lists it as uncharacterized. The record is from RefSeq and is a predicted model, not a curated record. Lineage: Eukaryota; Metazoa; Arthropoda; Insecta; Diptera; Tephritidae.
UGCAGGCUGUCAUUUUGUGCGGACGCUUUGCCUUCAGGGUAGCGAAGUCUGUUUCGAUGAUAACAUAUUUGGAAAAUGCAUACCGACAACUGGCGUAGAUGUUGAGGACAUUGAAAAAACACCCCUCACGGAGGAUCAAUCUCGCACCCUCGC